RNAcentral lists this ribosomal RNA (207 nucleotides) under uncultured bacterium. RNAcentral describes it as "partial 16S ribosomal RNA". It matches the Rfam family "Bacterial small subunit ribosomal RNA", at positions 568 to 774 of the family's 1533-position model. The record is from RNAcentral.
AGUGUAGGUGGUUUGGUAAGUCAGAGGUGAAAUCCCUCAGCUCAACUGAGGAACUGCCUUUGAUACUGCCAGACUUGAGGACAGGAGAGGAAAGUGGAAUUCCCGGUGUAGCGGUGGAAUGCGUAGAUAUCGGGAGGAACACCAGAGGCGAAGGCGGCUUUCUGGACUGAUCCUGACGCUGAGACUCGAAAGCUAGGGGAGCAAACA